GAUUGAGCAGUGAGGCUGCAGGGGCAUGUUCUAUACACCAAAACUGCUUCAUUAAGCUAAAGUUGUUCAGGUGACUAUAGUGUCCUUUUAACAUUUUUGGAAAUACUUUACAAAGUAUUUAUCUACAGAAGUCACCAUUAAAAUGUAUGAGAAUUUGUGUAGAUAAAGGUGCAAACCAUUCACAAGUCUCAAGAAUAGAUAGGCCAGAUUAGACUUUGCCAAUAAAACAUAAAAAAAAAAGCCAGCCAAGUUAUGGAUCUGCA
Pelobates cultripes (western spadefoot toad) is the source of this 263-nucleotide non-coding RNA. The record is from the annotation of a GenBank genome assembly. Lineage: Eukaryota; Metazoa; Chordata; Amphibia; Anura; Pelobatidae.